RNAcentral lists this ribosomal RNA (497 nucleotides) under uncultured bacterium. Its description in RNAcentral is "partial 16S ribosomal RNA". It matches the Rfam family "Bacterial small subunit ribosomal RNA", at positions 28 to 507 of the family's 1533-position model. The record is from RNAcentral.
GAUGAACGCUGGCGGCGUGCCUAAUACAUGCAAGUCGAGCGAACAGACGAGGAGCUUGCUCCUCUGACGUUAGCGGCGGACGGGUGAGUAACACGUGGAUAACCUACCUAUAAGACUGGGAUAACUUCGGGAAACCGGAGCUAAUACCGGAUAAUAUAUUGAACCGCAUGGUUCAAUAGUGAAAGACGGUUUUGCUGUCACUUAUAGAUGGAUCCGCGCCGCAUUAGCUAGUUGGUAAGGUAACGGCUUACCAAGGCAACGAUGCGUAGCCGACCUGAGAGGGUGAUAGGCCACACUGGAACUGAGACACGGUCCAGACUACUACGGGAGGCAGCAGUAGGCAAUCUUCCGCAAUGGGCGAAAGCCUGACGGAGCAACGCCGCGUGAGUGAUGAAGGUCUUCGGAUCGUAAAACUCUGUUAUUAGGGAAGAACAAAUGUGUAAGUAACUAUGCACGUCUUGACGGUACCUAAUCAGAAAGCCACGGCUAACUACGUG